Molecule: ribosomal RNA, 253 nt
Filed under: uncultured bacterium
Lineage: Bacteria
Description: partial 16S ribosomal RNA
Rfam family: Bacterial small subunit ribosomal RNA
Source: RNAcentral
UAUGUAGGGAGCAAGCGUUGUCCGGAUUUACUGGGUGUAAAGGGUGCGUAGGCGGCUUUGCAAGUCAGAAGUGAAAUCCAUGGGCUUAACCCAUGAACUGCUUUUGAAACUGCAGAGCUUGAGUGGAGUAGAGGUAGGCGGAAUUCCCGGUGUAGCGGUGAAAUGCGUAGAGAUCGGGAGGAACACCAGUGGCGAAGGCGGCCUGCUGGGCUCUAACUGACGCUGAGGCACGAAAGCGUGGGUAGCAAACAGG